RNAcentral lists this ribosomal RNA (571 nucleotides) under uncultured bacterium. RNAcentral's name for it is "bacterial SSU rRNA". It matches the Rfam family "Bacterial small subunit ribosomal RNA", at positions 8 to 589 of the family's 1533-position model. The record is from RNAcentral.
AGAGUUUGAUCCUGGCUCAGGACGAACGCUGGCGGCGUGCUUAACACAUGCAAGUCGUGGGCGCCUCGCAAGAGGCGACCGGCGAACGGGUGCGUAACACGUGAGCGACCCUCCGAUUCGUGGGGGAUAGCCGGCCCAACGGCCGGGUAAUACCGCAUACGCCAAACGGGCUGCAUGGCCUGUUUGGGAAACCUCCGGGGCGAAUCGAGGGGCUCGCGGCCUAUCAGCUAGUUGGCGGGGUAACGGCCCACCAAGGCGACGACGGGUAGCUGGUCUGAGAGGAUGGCCAGCCACAUUGGGACUGAGAAACGGCCCAGACUCCUACGGGAGGCAGCAGUGGGGAAUAUUGCGCAAUGGCCGCAAGGCUGACGCAGCGACGCCGCGUGUGGGAUGAAGCCCUUCGGGGUGUAAACCACUGUUGCCCGGGACGAACGAGAGGCUUUCGCCUCUGUGACGGUACCGGGUGAGGAAGCACCGGCUAACUCCGUGCCAGCAGCCGCGGUAAUACGGAGGGUGCGAGCGUUGUCCGGAAUCACUGGGCGUAAAGGGCGCGUAGGCGGCUUGGUAAGGG